AUUUGUUUAAAAUCCAAUUCUAACAGGGCCCAGUUGAAAGACCCACUUUGGGGCGCAGAUGAUUACAAUGACUGGUGGCCCCACUUGCGUUUUCAACUCGAGUGUAAUUGCUUCAUGAUUCCGCUUUGGAUCGAUUUUCGUUUGUGCGAUUAUCGGAGCUUUUGGCUGCCAACUACCAACUACCGGCUACCGUCUACCGUCUCCCAGUUACCAGAGUUUUUUGCUUGUCACCCAACUUGACCCAAAGGUGCGGACAAACACAGAGCUCUCAUUACUGUCAGUCCAUCGCCGCCUCCCUCCCCUGGCCAAUUGCGGGUUUGUUGUCAAAGUGUAAAAAUAAACAAACACCGGGGGACAAUGCUAAUCCAUUCGAUAUGGUCCGCUCGGAUUAGCUCCCAGCUCCACAUCCGCAAUUGGGCAGAACUCGUUCUGCAACUCCGGGUAUAAAUACUGGGGGUCUGGGCGGAGAACAGCAUCAGUCAGCGCACUACCAGUCCUCGAGAACACUCGUCUCCUCCAAAUCCCAACCAAAAUCAAAAUGAAAUUCCUCGUCUGCUUGGCCCUCUUCAUCGCCG
RNAcentral lists this small RNA (575 nucleotides) under Drosophila ananassae. RNAcentral's name for it is "GF13312". Lineage: Eukaryota; Metazoa; Arthropoda; Insecta; Diptera; Drosophilidae. The record is from RNAcentral.